This 738-nucleotide long non-coding RNA is filed under the name Chinchilla lanigera (long-tailed chinchilla). Its description in RNAcentral is "lncRNA (ENSCLAG00000024174.1)". Lineage: Eukaryota; Metazoa; Chordata; Mammalia; Rodentia; Chinchillidae. The record is from RNAcentral.
GCGAACAUUUCAUGGGUGAAAGUGGAGAGCUGGGGCCACCACUGAUGUUUCCAGACCUCCAGGAAGCUGGAGGAUAAACUGCAGAAACUGCAAUGGAAAACAGCAGCCUGGCUCAACAGUCCAACAACUGCUAGCUGCAGUAUCUGUCAUGUCACCAAAAGUGAGGAAUUCUGUGAAUCAUGUCAUCCAGUGACAAAGUCCUCUGAACCCUCACAUCUGUCACAAAGGAAAGGCAAAGCCAAUAUGAUAAACAGGAAAUGCAGCCCAUGGGAGGAAAAAAGUAAUGUGAACACAAAUUUGACGGUGAAAAACUUUUGUUUUUUGAUACGUGCUGUCAAAACACUGUCUGGGAAGGUUAUGCAUUUGGCAAGAGGUGAGGGUCUGAAGACACAGAGAGAACAUGCAGAAUCUGAAGUCCUGGGCUCCACGUGAGGCAUGGUGACAGGGAGAACCUCAGAGGAGAACCCCUGGGAGAACGAGCCCAGGUAAGGAAGAUCCCACCUGUCACCUGCUCAUUUGUUCCUUCCACAAAUAUAGGAUGGCUUACCAUGUGCUACACGCUAUGUUUUGUUUUGUUUUUUUUUUAGGUUGGGAGAGCGUAUUAGGCAUUGAACCCAAAGCCUCAUGAAUGCUGGGAAAGUAUUCUAAUACUGAACUACACCUCUAGCCCCUCUAUUUUAUUUUAUUUUACUUUAUUUUAUUCUAUUUUUUAUUUUAAAGAAAAUAAUAAAAAAGAAC